This 238-nucleotide long non-coding RNA is filed under the name Panax ginseng (ginseng). Its description in RNAcentral is "long non-coding RNA (PGIN_LNC005470)". Lineage: Eukaryota; Viridiplantae; Streptophyta; Magnoliopsida; Apiales; Araliaceae. The record is from RNAcentral.
UCUUACUAAUUGUUUUUCAAUAAUUCUACAGCGACCGUGGUUUAGCGACAUUUUUGGUGACCGACUGAUGUGGCACUGCCACAUCAGUAUGAGAGAGGAAGUGAAAAAAGAAGAAGUCAAUACCCGGAACAUGGGUUUACUCUUCUCACUUUGCCAAACAGUCUUUUAUCUCUAGCAUCAAUAUUAUCUUCCUCUCUCAUGCUAGACGCCAAACCGAACUCCAACAUCGUUGAACAAG